This 69-nucleotide small RNA is filed under the name Roseofilum reptotaenium AO1-A. RNAcentral describes it as "Cyanobacterial functional RNA 1". It matches the Rfam family "Cyanobacterial functional RNA 1". Lineage: Bacteria; Bacillati; Cyanobacteriota; Cyanophyceae; Desertifilales; Desertifilaceae. The record is from Rfam by way of RNAcentral.
GCGGAGACGCAUGAUGUUUCCGUUCACUCCUCACACCACACUCCGCCUGAACAAACUGUUCAGGCGGUU